AGCUGGUAAACGGGAACCAAAUCGUGAAGUAAAUGCGGAUUUGGUCCCCUUCAACCAGCCGU
RNAcentral lists this microRNA precursor (62 nucleotides) under Strongylocentrotus purpuratus (purple sea urchin). RNAcentral's name for it is "Spu-Mir-133_pre stem-loop". It matches the Rfam family "mir-133 microRNA precursor family", at positions 14 to 73 of the family's 74-position model. From Rfam's summary of the family: mir-133 was first experimentally characterised in mouse and homologues have since been discovered in several other species. The mature sequence is excised from the 3' arm of the hairpin. The record is from RNAcentral. Lineage: Eukaryota; Metazoa; Echinodermata; Echinoidea; Camarodonta; Strongylocentrotidae.